GGUUGGAUCAUUAAAGAUGUUUUGGUUGAGCGCUGGAGGCAUGUCUAUAGUGGGAUUUGGUCUGAUAUGGUCAAAGUUAGUGAUUUGGUGAAGUUGACCCUGGCAACUACAAUCAUCAUUGUUUCAAUGGUGCUCUUGGUUUAGUCUGGAUUCUUGAUUUCACAAAAUGCUAAUGGACUGUGGAAGGACUGGAUCUCCAGACUGUGCGGAAAGUGUUCCCUUUGAAACGUUCAAUUUGUAUCUGCAAAUGAGCAUUAGCCCAUUUGUGGAGACUUUUUGAGGUUUGCAUCUCGUGUGCACCGAUUAUUGUAUUUUGGGUGGACCCUGGUAUACUGGCCUGUAAAAAGGUCUAGAAUAUCACACCACCCAACACUAAACCUCUUGUCUUACUUCCCUAUUCAUGUUAGUUCUGGAUGCGUGCCAAGGGUUGCCGGAAACGCGUAAAGGCGAGCCGUGCGUAAUAGGUUUCCGAUUGGUUCUGUCCGUGAGGAACUAGCCCGGAGUAACAUGAAUAUAUGGUGCCUGCCAUUGUUAAGUCUGGAUGCGUGCCAAGGGUUGCCGGAAACACGAAAGGGUGAGCCGUGCGUAAUAGGUUUCCGAUUGGUUCUGUCCGUGAGGAACUAGCCUGGAUUAACAAUGUGUGGGUUGAUUUAUGUGUGCACAAAUUAUUGUUGUUGGGUGGUCCCUUGUGUUUUGACCUUCUUUUGUAAGGUUCAGAAUCUCAACCCCAUCCACGUUUAAACCUUUUGUCUUUCUUUCUGACUUAUUUUCACCUUGUGUGAAAAGCAAAAUAUUACAACUUCUGGCAACGGAUCUCUAGGCUCUCGCAACGAUGAAGAACGCAGCGAAAUGCGAUACGUAAUGUGAAUUGCAGAACUACGUGAAUCAUCGAAUCUUUGAACGCACAUUGCACUUUUUGGUAUCCCGAAAAGUAUGCCUGUUUGAGUAUCAAUACAUCCAUCCUACCCCUACUGUGUAAAAGCAGCAGUGGUGGGGAUUUGGGAUUUCUGCUAGGUGAAGAAAUUCACAAUAUGGUAGUUUCCUUAAAUAGAUUCAAUUGGUAUAGCAUCUAGAAGAAGGCAUUGUAUUGUCCUAGAAGACUUUGCAAAUCCACUUUUCUAGCUGGGUUAUAAUUAUAUUGGGACCGGGGUCCUUUCUUAAUUACUUUCCUGGUGUUUGAUUAAUGGUUUUCAAAGGCUUUUAAGGCAUUGCCCUCUACUGUGUUUUUAUUGAUUGUAUUGAAACCUUAGAGUGAUCUAAGGACAUUCAUUAUGUGCUGCAGUUAGCUCACAUAUUGUAUCAAACUUGGUCUCAAAUCAGGCAAGAGGACCCGCUGAACUUAAGCAUAUCAAUAAGCGGAGGAAAAGAAACUAACAAGGAUUCCCCUAGUAACGGCGAGUGAAGCGGGAAAAGCUCAAAUUUGAAAUCUCCCUGGUUCCCAGGGCGAAUUGUAGUUGAUAGAAGCGUUUUCGGAGUUAUGCUAGGCUUAAGUCACCUGGAAAGGUGCAUCAUAGAGGGUGAGAAUCCCGUCUGUGGUCUAGUAAUAACUCUAUGUGAUACGUUUUCUAAGAGUCGGGUUGUUUGGGAUUGCAGCCCUAAAUGGGUGGUAAAUACCAUCUAAAGCUAAAUACCAGCGAGAGACCGAUAGCGAACAAGUACCGUGAGGGAAAGAUGAAAAGAACUUUGAAAAGAGAGUUAAAUAGUACGUGAAAUUGCCAGAAGGGAAACGCUUGAAACCAGUUGUGCGUCUAGAAUUCAGCCAGUCUUUUGACUGGUGCAAUUCACUUGAUGCAGGUCAUCGUCAGUUUAGUUUGGAGUAAAAAGUGUUAGGAAGGUAGCCUUCGGGUGUUAUAGCCUAACUCUAUGCUCUGGACUAGACUGAGGGUAUCGCGGUGGUCUUUGAAUUUGGGAGGUUCACUUCUUACCUGUUUGCAAACUACUUGUAGAUUGCAAAUAAGGGAGAUUGAUUCCUUUCUCUUUCUAUUCCACUUCAGAUGAUGACAAAAUGGUAUCAAACGACCCGUCUUGAAACACGGACCAAGGAGUCUAACAUGCAUGCGAGUUUUUGAGUGUCAAACUCGAGAGCGUAAUGAAAGUGAAACUGGUGUGAUCCCGCAAGGGUGCAACAUCGACCGGUCUGGAUUUUUUUGAUAGAUCUGAGUAAGAGCAUGCCUGUUAGGACCCGAAAGAUGGUGAACUAUGCCUGAAUAGGGUGAAGCCAGAGGAAACUCUGGUGGAAGCUCGUAGCGAUUCUGACGUGCAAAUCGAUCGUCGAAUUUGGGUAUAGGGGCGAAAGACUAAUCGAACCAUCUAGUAGCUGGUUCCCUC
Molecule: unclassified non-coding RNA, 2328 nt
Filed under: uncultured fungus
Lineage: Eukaryota; Fungi
Description: sequence contains 18S rRNA gene, ITS1, 5.8S rRNA gene, ITS2, 28S rRNA gene
Rfam family: Eukaryotic large subunit ribosomal RNA (bases 1307-2328)
Source: RNAcentral